Molecule: ribosomal RNA, 467 nt
Filed under: uncultured bacterium
Lineage: Bacteria
Description: partial 16S ribosomal RNA
Rfam family: Bacterial small subunit ribosomal RNA
Source: RNAcentral
GACGAACGCUGGCGGCGUGCUUAACACAUGCAAGUCGAACGGAAAGGCCCUGCUUUUGUGGGGUGCUCGAGUGGCGAACGGGUGAGUAACACGUGAGUAACCUGCCCUUGACUUUGGGAUAACUUCAGGAAACUGGGGCUAAUACCGGAUAGGAGCUCCUGCUGCAUGGUGGGGGUUGGAAAGUUUCGGCGGUUGGGGAUGGACUCGCGGCUUAUCAGCUUGUUGGUGGGGUAGUGGCUUACCAAGGCUUUGACGGGUAGCCGGCCUGAGAGGGUGACCGGCCACAUUGGGACGGAGAUACGGCCCAGACUCCUUCGGGAGGCAGCAGUGGGGAAUAUGGCACAAUGGGCGGAAGCCUGAGGCAGCAACGCCGCGUGCGGGAUGACGGCCUUCGGGUGGUAAACCGCUUUCGCCUGUGACGAAGCGUGAGUGACGGUAAUGGGUAAAGAAGCACCGGCUAACUACGU